AAACAGUACCGGGGGCGGGCCGAGCGACGCAGCCGGGACGGUAGCUGCGGUGCGGACCGGAGGAGCCAUCUUGUCUCGUCGCCGGGGAGUCAGGCCCCUAACUCGAAGAAGCCCUGGCGCGCCCUCCCCCCCUCCCCGGUCUGGUAGGGCGACGGAGCGGGCGCGCGGUCGAUCGAGCGAUCGGUUGGCGGCUCUUUCUCCUGCUCUGGCAUCCAGCUCUUGGGGCGCAGGCCCGGCCGCCGCGGCGCGCGCCCGGUGGCCGUUGGCGCUCGCGCCGAGUCUUUCUUCUCGUCCGCAGGACUCGGGCGGCGGCCUAUGCGUUUGCGAUCCGACGAGGAGUCGUCCGGGUGGUUGGCGGUGGCGGGCAGCUGCUCCGCCCCGCUCCCGGGGAGGCGGCGGCGGGACUUGGCGCGGCCGGGGAAGCGGGGGCGGCCGGGGCCGGCCUGGAGGCCUGGCGCCACCCUUCGGGGCCUGCAAGGACCCAGUUGGAGGGACAGGAAGGGGCUGGGGGAUGGUUGGUGGUGGGCUUUCUACUUUGCCUUUUCCUCCUUAUGCCGCCUUAGUGAGAGGCGGGAGCCCUGGCGGCAGCUCCGGGCCGGGAAACGGGCUCCGGAGUCGGAAGAGCUGGGUUUGCUUCCGGGCCUAGCCACCAGCUGGCCGAGUGACCUUAGGCAAGUCCCUCUGUAAUCUGCGCCUCAGUUUCCUCCUCUGUCGAUGUUUGUGGGAUUAAAAGCGCUUUGUAAAGCGUCAGUGUACAUAAGGGAUCAUUAUUAUUUGUAAAAUUUUCUGAUUUGUAAGAAAACAGCCAUUGCCCAAUCCAUCGAUUUUUUGAACCUAGGAACCUUGGAUUGGAGUUGGAAAUCCCCAAACUCCCCGAAAUUGUAUGCAGAAAUUAGUGGGAAUGUGCAUUUUAGGGGGAUGAGGAUCCAUCGCCAACAAGGUUUCAAGGGAGAUGUCACCCCCAAAGAGUUAACCACAAUCUCUCUAUGCCACAGGGGGGAAACUGAGGCCUAGAUGCCAUUUGAGAUCCUUCACAACCAAUUUGAAGCCCCUGUUUGAAUCCCUGGGAUAUGUGAGCUUUUCUGUGCAUAAUGGAUUAUUGGGGUAACAACACUCCACUGCUUGGCUUUUUUCCUGAGUCCUUUCCUUUCCCCAUGGGGGGGUGCCCGAAGGGUGGCUAAUGCAUAUGGUACAGUGGCAUCCAGUAUAAAGCAGCUGAAACUAGGAGUGGAUAUGUUCUCUGGAAUCAAGAAGCCUAUUUAAUCUUUGGCCCAUUAACUGUGUUGCUGCUGAUACUGGUGCCUGACUACCUUUCUGACUCUUUCAUUGACCAUUUUUCACGACCAUGUUUGCCAUCUGUUACUUGCUCCUAUUUUAUACCCCUAGUCUAUGUGGUUGGUAGUGAGCAGGCUUAUUUUUAAAUGGUGCUGCCAAGUCUAGCUAAUUAAUGGUGCAGGUGGAUUUUUCGGAAGCUGGCUAACGAACAGACUGAUCCAGGCAUGGAAUUCCUGAAGAUGUUGGGGGGUUAUCUUUAUUAAUUGAAGGUUAACAUUUUCUGAAAAAUUGCGUUUGAACCUGUGCUGAACCUCAGAAUCAGUAGAUUUGGAAGUUUUCCCAAGCUUAACUUUUUCCUGGACUGCUUUGUAUUCUAUUUGCUUGCAAGUGUGUUGCUAAGGUGGCCAAAAAUGCCAGUUUUUUGCUUCUUUGUUAAUUGUCAGCUGCUUUUACCCAGCAAACACUAUAGAAAUGUUUGAACAGUUGGAUUUCAAACAUUUUUGUUUUGUGGAGUGGUGCAACUCUAAGCAAACGAACACACACGAUUAAGUGUAUUUUGUCUGGUUAGGUGUUACCCGGUUCUGCUAUUGCAUACAACUGUCUGAAAAAAAAUAUCAGUUGACUGUUCCCUUUACCUAAAGGGCAGAGACAGAUGAUCUCACUUCCAGAGAAAUAACUUAUUUGGGGGGAAAUGUGUUGGUCUUUUGUAAUAAAACCUGGAUGUACUGCAAACGAAUCUUGAUUGUGGUGAGAAGAUGCUUUUCUCAGCAGAAAAGAGGGACACAAACAUCUGGAACUCAAAAGCUUGAAAUUCUGUGACAAAACACGAGAUGUCCAGGAUAGAGGGUUGAAAGGGUUUCACUACAGUGUUUCGCACUAGCUGGAGCCGAUGCCCAUUAGUAGCCACGGCAUGGACUCCAGAUUUGCAAGACCUGGGACCUCGAUGCGUUUAUGAGGAUGUGACAGGAACUCUGGAGCUGGAUAUGUUUACUUUGGGGACUAUUGACCUCGCUUUCAGAAGAGAGACGACAACUAACCAAGCAAUGCCACUAGCGCUGUUACUGGGAAUUUGAAGACCUGAGUUUCUGCCAGACCUCAGUGCAAACUCUGAUGACACUGCAUCCAAAGUGAACUACGAUAGCAAGCCCCUUGGAAAAAAAGGGUCUUCGAAUCUUUGCCCACACAUACUACCACAUGUGAUGAAGCUUUUAAUAGAAAAGAGGAAUUCAGAGAGCAGGCUAUCCCAGAAUGAGCAUUCACCUACAGAUUUGGUACCUGGAUUUCUGUCCAUGGUGAUUUCUGUCACCUUACUACUGAAGAAGAUACCAUUCCAGUGGACCACUGUGACCCAAGGGACAUUCAACCAUCAUGAUGUGGUCUUCACCUCCAUUCCUGUCCUCCUCUACCCAGAUUGAGCACCAUCCUUUAUGUGAAGUCAAACUCCUCAAGCCAAAUAGCUGGAACUGUUUCAUCACAACAGAGGCUCAGUUUGUUCCAUGAGUGUGUAUUUUGUUUCUUCAGUUAAAGCCUUCAGAGACACAUAAUAAAUUUGGACCCAGGGGAUUCUUAGUUCUCAACAUUGUCUGGAGAAUGGUAACAUCUUGAGAACAACAUUGGACCACAACCCACAAUCUCAAAUGUUUAUGAAGUUUUGAGGAUCCCAUGCAGGUCACUGGACGCUAUUCUUUUUCCACGUCAAAUCUGUAGUAUCCUACUGAAUGAGAAAGCAGAUAUUCUGACCCAUUGGGAUUAAAACAAAGGCCUAGUGAAGUCCUCAUAGCAUCUUUGGGAUUAUUCAGGAACCAGAACUUUUCACACAAAUGUAAGGAAUUUUACAAAGGAAUCCUUUACCCAGCAUCUCACAAAGCUUCAAUCAGAUUCCAGAAAAGGCCACUUGAGACAUCCAGGUAGAACCUAUAUGCAUUUUGUGAACAACUUAUUCUUAGAUCAUUGGUUUUCCAAAGGCUUUGUGGCCAUGAAGCCCUUUGGACGAAAACUGUGUGGAAGCCCAAAGUAAAAGUGAAGUUGCUCUGGACGAAGCAGAGUGGGGGUCCUGAAAUCUGCCACAAGCAUCUUCCUUUAUCGCCAUGGUGACACCUAAGGAGAGACUUCUUUACAGCACCUAGAAUUCUUCAGAGCACAUUUUGAAAAAACAGUGCUCUAGACAACAAUAUGUUCGACCUGAAUGAUAUUCUGAUCUGUACCUCUAGCCAACACAGUCCAUGUUCAGUUGGUGCUGAACAUUCUUAGGAAUACUUACUAUGGACAAACACAGAAAAGUGCAAGAACUUUGCCCCUAAGUAGUUAUAUGGGCCAAAAGUGUAUCAAAUGAACCUAAAUUAAUCAUGCUCUACCCCCAUAUGGACUUACAGUAAUUCCUGGGUUUGGAUAUAGACAGUAAAUCAUAUGUACUCUACACCAACAAACCCCCUUACCCAACUUCUUUCACAAACACCAGAUGCUCUAGUGGUACUUGAAUACGUGAAUCUGAAGUCUUGAUCCUCCUUGGAUACCUGAAUUGCCAGGUAUUGAAACUGAUGCCUCAUUGAGGCCAUAGUAGACCAACUUGUUCAUCGGACCUCCCAUCAUCAACCAUGGUACUCUACUUCAUGUGCAAGGGAUAACCAUUAACUAUGAAAGCAGAAUUCAAAUUCUGGCAACGUUAACUAAAAGGGUACCUGGUUUUAUCAUUCAUCUUAUUCUCAAACUACAAGUCACUAUGACUCAAUCAGUGGCAGUAAUACUACUGCUUGGUUUUUAUUUACUUUUAACUGCUGUUUCCAGGUUAAAUGAGCUAAUAACAUUUAAUAAGCUAAAAUAAUUCCUCCACCAUCGGCAUAUCUGCUUGGCAUAUUCUGCUCUAAAAUUAUGAAUACUCUGCUCUAACUACAUGUAAGACCUGAUCCACAGGAGACCAUCUUUGAACAUCUUUUCUGAUGUGAUUUAAAAUGUGGCCAUUUGGGAAGUUUUCUUCUAGCCAGUGAAUGUUUUUCCUUUAAGAUGGGUCUUGAUGUCUAGUACCAUCAACUGUAGAUAUUAGGGAUAUUUUGAGGUAGGCACUUGCUGAGAAUCUCAAAUUGUGUAUAAUCUUUUUGCUGGAAAUGUAGACUGACUUGAAAGAAAAUCUACAAAUCCUUCAGCUAAGGAUUUUGUCAGUAAACUCAAGCUUCCUGUUGUGCUUCCUAAUGUCACAAGACCACAGUCCCUUGUCCUUGUGGAUAUGUUCAUAGAAUUUUACCUGUCUACUGUUUUAACACUGAUUCAGAGUGGCCACCUUCAUUCCUCAGGCAUUGAGACAACUUACCUGUUUCUGCAGGAAGGAUUCAGUUUGUGAACUUCCAGACCAAAUCAUGUUAAACAAGUAGACUUUGAAAUCUUAUUUACUUCACAGUUGACUUAAGGGCCAGAUGUCCUCAACUACUUUAACGAAUGCACUGGUUAAAUGUUGGGAAUGGUUUCUUUAUAUGUCUCUUAUCCACUAGACUAAUUAUGAGAACAUGACUUAGUCUUCAAAUCAUCAAUCUAGGCCUAAGCCUGGUUACUCUAGACUGCUUACCGUCAACAAAUAAAGAUAAAAUAAUGACCAUCCUGCUUGUAUAUACAACUAUUAUUUGUAAAGAAGAAAUCUGCAAACUCAACUUUUUUUACUACCUUCCAAAUAGCUAGAUUUUUCUUCUGUACAGGAAAAGACAUUGAUCUACACUGCCAGUCAUUCCUGUUAUUCCUGUCAGACUCAGUAAAAUGAGGGGCUUAAGGUGAGGAUGAUCGUCUUUCAAGAGUCUAAUGAACACUGUGUAUAAGAAUUGAUGUUUGAAAAAGCAAAAACUAAAAUUCAAACCUAAGCUCUUACCUACUAUCUCCAUGCCUCAGAUCUCAUCUAAGUCCAGCAGCACCAUUCAACCAGUUUGAGGCCUUGACUUGUGUUUGAUUCCCAGAGAUGUGCUGAAUUAUAGAAGAUGGAGAUUUUGAUUACCAAAGAAAGUAGUGCCAAUCUUGAACCCUAUUAUUCCCAGGUGUAGGAACAGACACCUAAACAACCUCACGUCUGGACUGAGAAUAUAGCCUUCUGAGCUGAAAAUUCUUAUUGGGCAAAUGAGCAGGAAGGUGAAAGCUGCUGUACCCGACUGGCUAUUUAAGAUCUGAAAAGUGUAUCCAGAAUAAACACUAUGGAUUAAGCCUGGAGUAAUCCAGGUAAAAACUAAUUUACAGAACUUCAAUAUUAAACUACAUGUUCUUCCUUAUACCCUUGUCAUUGCUAUAGCUGGCCCUGCUGAAGGUACCCUACUUACCUAUUUAUCUGACUCAGCCCUUGCCUGCCUUUUUGACACGUUGCUGCAAUCAAACUUGCUGUCCUGGAACAGACUACAACUGAUCUCAGCCUAUCUUAUACCUAAUUCCACCAAGGAGUUUUGAACUGAAGCAGCCUGCACCUCACUCCAUAUUCUCCACAGGAAGGACCGUGCUGUAUACUUUUUGACCAGCAUCAGUGCUUUUUUUUUAAGUGCAGAGUAAGCCUCAGCCUAUAUAUAUUUGAUCAUUUUCAGCACCUGGAGAUCCUCCUACCAGAUCUGAAGGAGUGUAGCAGAUAAAAAGCACUGUCAAUUUCUGUCCUGCAGUAAUACAGAAGUUGAGUCUGAAUCAACAGCAUCAACAGCACAGAAAUGAGAAAUGUUCAACUUGGCGAAAGACUUGAACACAAAAGAUUUCCAGGAAUUUCAAAUUUACCACUGACUUGAAUAGCCUCACAGAACUACUUUCCAUUGGGAGACUAGUCGUCUUGCAUUAUGUCAACUAGAUAAUUGAGCUCUCGGACUCUUAAUACUUAUAUUGAAACUAUGGUAUCAUCCAGAGUAUGUUACUGGACAUGAUUAUUCCAUACAAAUGGAUUAUAAGCUUCUUGACGACAGGACAUACUCAUGAUGUGUGUGUUUUUCAGAAUACUUUUAUCAAGAAAGAAUAAUGCCAGCUGUUACAAUUCAACUUUAUGAGCAGAGAUUAAGCUUUUUCAAUAUCCAGCGUUAUCAUUGAUAUCAGUUAUUUUUAAUUGGCCAGCAUUUAUUCCAUCUCUUCCUAACAACUCCCUGAUGCUUCUUGGAACCAUAUCUCCCUAUUUUCAGUCCACAUAGUCCAGACAGUCUGACCUAACCUUAGGGUUCAUGUGUGGACGUGAAGUUCAGACCUGAUCAAUCGGCAUAGUUCAUCUCCUUGAUCAUAGUGAUUGAUUGGAUUCAGGAAUGGUCAUGUGAUUCAAGUUGAUCCAGUGAUACUCAACCCUAGGAGUUUACUGAACAGUGGAAGAGAAAAAGCUCAGAAACUCUGUAUUUACUGAGGUUGCUUACCUUUGUAGGAUGAACAAGCUCAAACCAGCAGGGUCCACCAUAUAAAAUGAGCCAGUCAGAGAAUGAAGCCAGUGCAGAGGAAAGCGGAGCCAAAUGAUGGAGAGACUUGAGUCCUGAUGACAAUGUGCUCCUAGAUCCAUCCGUGCCUGAAGCGAGUAUAUCCUCUGGAUUUUUCAGUUUUGUGAACCAAUAAAUACCCUUUUGUUUAAGUUA
Long non-coding RNA from Myotis lucifugus (little brown bat), 6827 nucleotides. RefSeq lists it as uncharacterized. The record is from RefSeq and is a predicted model, not a curated record. NCBI's taxonomy places the organism in Eukaryota, Metazoa, Chordata, Mammalia, Chiroptera, Vespertilionidae. The transcript has 4 exons.